Molecule: ribosomal RNA, 1427 nt
Filed under: Lactiplantibacillus pentosus
Lineage: Bacteria; Bacillati; Bacillota; Bacilli; Lactobacillales; Lactobacillaceae
Also listed under: 1 other name
Description: bacterial SSU rRNA
Rfam family: Bacterial small subunit ribosomal RNA
Source: RNAcentral
CGAACGAACUCUGGUAUUGAUUGGUGCUUGCAUCAUGAUUUACAUUUGAGUGAGUGGCGAACUGGUGAGUAACACGUGGGAAACCUGCCCAGAAGCGGGGGAUAACACCUGGAAACAGAUGCUAAUACCGCAUAACAACUUGGACCGCAUGGUCCGAGUUUGAAAGAUGGCUUCGGCUAUCACUUUUGGAUGGUCCCGCGGCGUAUUAGCUAGAUGGUGGGGUAACGGCUCACCAUGGCAAUGAUACGUAGCCGACCUGAGAGGGUAAUCGGCCACAUUGGGACUGAGACACGGCCCAAACUCCUACGGGAGGCAGCAGUAGGGAAUCUUCCACAAUGGACGAAAGUCUGAUGGAGCAACGCCGCGUGAGUGAAGAAGGGUUUCGGCUCGUAAAACUCUGUUGUUAAAGAAGAACAUAUCUGAGAGUAACUGUUCAGGUAUUGACGGUAUUUAACCAGAAAGCCACGGCUAACUACGUGCCAGCAGCCGCGGUAAUACGUAGGUGGCAAGCGUUGUCCGGAUUUAUUGGGCGUAAAGCGAGCGCAGGCGGUUUUUUAAGUCUGAUGUGAAAGCCUUCGGCUCAACCGAAGAAGUGCAUCGGAAACUGGGAAACUUGAGUGCAGAAGAGGACAGUGGAACUCCAUGUGUAGCGGUGAAAUGCGUAGAUAUAUGGAAGAACACCAGUGGCGAAGGCGGCUGUCUGGUCUGUAACUGACGCUGAGGCUCGAAAGUAUGGGUAGCAAACAGGAUUAGAUACCCUGGUAGUCCAUACCGUAAACGAUGAAUGCUAAGUGUUGGAGGGUUUCCGCCCUUCAGUGCUGCAGCUAACGCAUUAAGCAUUCCGCCUGGGGAGUACGGCCGCAAGGCUGAAACUCAAAGGAAUUGACGGGGGCCCGCACAAGCGGUGGAGCAUGUGGUUUAAUUCGAAGCUACGCGAAGAACCUUACCAGGUCUUGACAUACUAUGCAAAUCUAAGAGAUUAGACGUUCCCUUCGGGGACAUGGAUACAGGUGGUGCAUGGUUGUCGUCAGCUCGUGUCGUGAGAUGUUGGGUUAAGUCCCGCAACGAGCGCAACCCUUAUUAUCAGUUGCCAGCAUUAAGUUGGGCACUCUGGUGAGACUGCCGGUGACAAACCGGAGGAAGGUGGGGAUGACGUCAAAUCAUCAUGCCCCUUAUGACCUGGGCUACACACGUGCUACAAUGGAUGGUACAACGAGUUGCGAACUCGCGAGAGUAAGCUAAUCUCUUAAAGCCAUUCUCAGUUCGGAUUGUAGGCUGCAACUCGCCUACAUGAAGUCGGAAUCGCUAGUAAUCGCGGAUCAGCAUGCCGCGGUGAAUACGUUCCCGGGCCUUGUACACACCGCCCGUCACACCAUGAGAGUUUGUAACACCCAAAGUCGGUGGGGUAACCUUUUAGGAACCAGCCG